This 282-nucleotide long non-coding RNA is filed under the name Manihot esculenta (cassava). Its description in RNAcentral is "long non-coding RNA (MESC_LNC002742)". Lineage: Eukaryota; Viridiplantae; Streptophyta; Magnoliopsida; Malpighiales; Euphorbiaceae. The record is from RNAcentral.
ACGGUUGCGAGAGCUUGAUGCUUGAUGUCUAAAUAAAACUGCACCAGAAGUUGAACAAUUAUGAGAAAGGGUUGCCCAGCUGCGUAAAAUUACCGUCACUUCCGACGAACACUGGCAAACAAAAUAAGCAUGAAUAAUGAUUUCUUGUCCUUUUUCUCUUUUGUUCUGUUAGAAAAUGAUAUCUAUAAACUGGAACGUAGAAUUGGAAAAAAGGGAAGACAACAAUUGGGUGGCUAACAACUGACCUCCUUAAUUUAAGCAACAUUUCUCCUGAAGUUCAUG